RNAcentral lists this ribosomal RNA (465 nucleotides) under uncultured bacterium. Its description in RNAcentral is "partial 16S ribosomal RNA". It matches the Rfam family "Bacterial small subunit ribosomal RNA", at positions 28 to 507 of the family's 1533-position model. The record is from RNAcentral.
GACGAACGCUGGCGGCGUGCUUAACACAUGCAAGUCGAACGGAAAGGCCCUGCUUGCAGGGUACUCGAGUGGCGAACGGGUGAGUAACACGUGGGUGAUCUGCCCUGCACUUCGGGAUAAGCCUGGGAAACUGGGUCUAAUACCGGAUAGGAGCCAUUUUUAGUGUGAUGGUUGGAAAGUUUUUUCGGUGUAGGAUGAGCUCGCGGCCUAUCAGCUUGUUGGUGGGGUAAUGGCCUACCAAGGCGGCGACGGGUAGCCGGCCUGAGAGGGUGGACGGCCACAUUGGGACUGAGAGACGGCCCAGACUCCUACGGGAGGCAGCAGUGGGGAAUAUUGCACAAUGGGCGCAAGCCUGAUGCAGCGACGCCGCGGGGGGGAUGACGGCCUUCGGGUUGGAAACUCCUUUCGCUAGGGACGAAGCUUUUUGUGACGGUACCUAGAUAAGAAGCACCGGCUAACUACGUG